UGAUUUUAGUGCUUGCACUAAUGAGACUAUAUACUAGCAAGCGGCGGACGGCUGAGUACACGUGGGUAACCUGCCCAAGAGACUGGGAUAACACCUGGAAACAGAUGCUAAUACCGGAUAACAACACUAGACGCAUGUCUAGAGUUUGAAAGAUGGUUCUGCUAUCACUCUUGGAUGGACCUGCGGUGCAUUAACUAGUUGGUAAGGUAACGGCUUACCAAGGCAAUGAUGCAUACCCGAGUUGAGAGACUGAUCGGCCACAUUGGGACUGACACACGCCCCAAACUCCUACGGGAGGCAGCAGUAGGGAAUCUUCCACAAUGGACGAGAGUCUGAUGGAGCAACGCCGCGUGAGUGAAGAAAGGUUUCGGCUCGUACAGCUCUGUUGGUAGUGAAGAAAGAUAGAGGUAGUAACUGGCCUUUAUUUGACGGUAAUUACUUAGAAAGUCACGGCUAACUACGUGCCAGCAGCCGCGGUAAUACGUACGUGGCAAGCGUUGUCCGGGAUUUAUUGGGCCGUACAGCGAGCUGCACGCGGUUUCGAUGAGUCUUGAUGUGAGAAGCCUUCGUGCUCAACCGAGAGAAUUGCAUCAGUAAACUGUUCGAACUUGAAUUGCAUGAAGAAGGAAAGAGGAACUCCAUGGGUUAGCCGGU
This 654-nucleotide ribosomal RNA is filed under the name bacterium. RNAcentral describes it as "bacterial SSU rRNA". It matches the Rfam family "Bacterial small subunit ribosomal RNA", at positions 68 to 683 of the family's 1533-position model. The record is from RNAcentral.